Molecule: ribosomal RNA, 301 nt
Filed under: uncultured bacterium
Lineage: Bacteria
Description: partial 16S ribosomal RNA
Rfam family: Bacterial small subunit ribosomal RNA
Source: RNAcentral
CAGUCGCCGCGGUAAUACCGAGGGUGCAAGCGUUAAUCGGAAUUACUGGGCGUAAAGCGCACGCAGGCGGUCUGACAAGUCAGAUGUGAAAUCCCCGGGCUUAACCUGGGAACUGCAUUUGAAACUGUCAGGCUGGAGUCUUGUAGAGGGGGGUGGAAUUCCAGGUGUAGCGGUGAAAUGCGUAGAGAUCUGGAGGAAUACCGGUGGCGAAGGCGGCCCCCUGGACAAAGACUGACGCUCAGGUGCGAAAGCGUGGGGAGCAAACAGGAUUAGAUACCCGUGUAGUCCCUGUCUCUUAUAA